RNAcentral lists this ribosomal RNA (273 nucleotides) under uncultured bacterium. Its description in RNAcentral is "partial 16S ribosomal RNA". It matches the Rfam family "Bacterial small subunit ribosomal RNA", at positions 524 to 796 of the family's 1533-position model. The record is from RNAcentral.
UACGAAGGGUGCAAGCGUUAAUCGGAAUUACUGGGCGUAAAGCGCGCGUAGGUGGUUCGUUAAGUUGGAUGUGAAAGCCCCGGGCUCAACCUGGGAACUGCAUCCAAAACUGGCGAGCUAGAGUAUGGCAGAGGGUGGUGGAAUUUCCUGUGUAGCGGUGAAAUGCGUAGAUAUAGGAAGGAACACCAGUGGCGAAGGCGACCACCUGGGCUAAUACUGACACUGAGGUGCGAAAGCGUGGGGAGCAAACAGGAUUAGAAACCCCCGUAGUCC